Molecule: non-coding RNA, 730 nt
Filed under: Agrotis trifurca
Lineage: Eukaryota; Metazoa; Arthropoda; Insecta; Lepidoptera; Noctuidae
Source: RNAcentral
UUUAGUAUUAAUUUUAUUUUAUUUAAAUAAUAAUUUAUUUUUAUAUGUAGUAAUUAAUAUUAAAUUAUUUAAGAAAUUAAGAUUUAGUGAUAUUUAAAUUAAUAACAAAUUUUGUGCCAGCAGUUGCGGUUAUACAAAAAUUAAAUUAAAUUUUGUUGAUAAUUAAUAAAUAAUUUGUUUAUUAUAAUAAAAAUUUUAAAUUAUUAAGUGAAAUUUUAAUUUAAUAAAAUUUUAUAGUUGUUUUAUGAUUUAAUAAAUUUUAUGAAAAACUAGGAUUAGAUACCCUAUUAUUAAAAUUUAAAAUUAAAAUAUCAAAAUAGUAAAUAAUUAUUUAUUGAAACUUAAAUAAUUUGGCGGUAUUUUAGUUCAUUUAGAGGAAUCUGUUUAUUAAUUGAUAAUCCACGAAUAAAUUUACUUAAUUUAUUAUUUUGUAUAUCGUUGUUAAAUAAAUAUUUUUUAAUAAAAUUAAUAUUUAAAAAUUAUUAUUUUAAUUUAAAUCAGAUCAAGAUGCAGAUUAUAAUUAAGAAUAUAAUGGAUUACAAUAAAUUUAUUUAAAUGAAUAUUAAUUUGUAAAAAUUAAUUGAAAGUGGAUUUAAAUGUAAUUUUAUUUAAUUUAAUAAAAUGAUUAAAAAUUAAAAUAUGUACAUAUUGCCCGUCGCUUUCAUAUAAUAAAUAAAAUUGAAAUAAGUCGUAACAAAGUAGAGGUACUGGAAAGUGUUUCUAGAAAGAA